GACGAACGCUGGCGGCGUGCUUAACACAUGCAAGUCGAACGGAAAGGCCCUGCUUUUGUGGGGUGCUCGAGUGGCGAACGGGUGAGUAACACGUGAGUAACCUGCCCUUGACUUUGGGAUAACUUCAGGAAACUGGGGCUAAUACCGGAUAGGAGCUCCUGCUGCAUGGUGGGGGUUGGAAAGUUUCGGCGGUUGGGGAUGGACUCGCGGCUUAUCAGCUUGUUGGUGGGGUAGUGGCUUACCAAGGCUUUGACGGGUAGCCGGCCUGAGAGGGUGACCGGCCACAUUGGGACUGAGAGACGGCCCAGACUCCUACGGGAGGCAGCAGUGGGGAAUAUGGCACAAUGGGCGGAAGCCUGAUGCAGAAACGCCGCGUGCGGGAUGACGGCCUUCGGGUUGUAAAACGCUUUCGCCUGUGACGAAGCGUGAGUGACGGUAAUGGGUAAAGAAGCACCGGCUAACUACGUG
Molecule: ribosomal RNA, 468 nt
Filed under: uncultured bacterium
Lineage: Bacteria
Description: partial 16S ribosomal RNA
Rfam family: Bacterial small subunit ribosomal RNA
Source: RNAcentral